AUUGAACGCUGGCGGCAUGCUUUACACAUGCAAGUCGAACGGUAACAGCACUUCGGUGGCUGACGAGUGGCGAACGGGUGAGUAAUACAUCGGAACGUGCCUAGUAGUGGGGGAUAACUACUCGAAAGAGUAGCUAAUACCGCAUGAGAUCUAAGGAUGAAAGCAGGGGACCUUCGGGCCUUGCGCUACUAGAGCGGCUGAUGGCAGAUUAGGUAGUUGGUGGGAUAAAAGCUUACCAAGCCGACGAUCUGUAGCUGGUCUGAGAGGACGACCAGCCACACUGGGACUGAGACACGGCCCAGACUCCUACGGGAGGCAGCAGUGGGGAAUUUUGGACAAUGGGCGCAGGCCUGAUCCAGCAAUGCCGCGUGCAGGAUGAAGGCCUUCGGGUUGUAAACUGCUUUUGUACGGAACGAAAAGCCCUCUUCUAAUACAGGAGGGUCAUGACGGUACCGUAAGAAUAAGCACCGGCUAACUACGUG
This 482-nucleotide ribosomal RNA is filed under the name uncultured bacterium. RNAcentral describes it as "partial 16S ribosomal RNA". It matches the Rfam family "Bacterial small subunit ribosomal RNA", at positions 30 to 507 of the family's 1533-position model. The record is from RNAcentral.